AGAACGAACGCUGGCGGCAGGCCUAACACAUGCAAGUCGAACGGAUGUAGCAAUACAUUAGUGGCGCACGGGAGAGUAACGCGUGGGAACCUACCUUUGGUACGGGAUAACGUCGGGAAACUGACGCUAAUACCGGAUAAGCCCUUCGGGGAAAGAUUUAUCGCCGAUAGAUGGGCCCGCGUUAGAUUAGCUAGUUGGUGAGGUAAUGGCUCACCAAGGCGACGAUCUAUAACUGGUCUGAGAGGAUGACCAGUCUCACUGGGACUGAGACACGGCCCAGACUCCUACGGGAGGCAGCAGUGGGGAAUAUUGGACAAUGGGGGCAACCCUGAUCCAGCCAUGCCGCGUGAAUGAUGAAGGCCUUCGGGUUGUAAAGUUCUUUUGGUGGGACGAUGAUGACGGUACCCACAGAAUAAGCUCCGGCUAACUUCGUGCCAGCAGCCGC
Molecule: ribosomal RNA, 445 nt
Filed under: uncultured bacterium
Lineage: Bacteria
Description: SSU rRNA
Rfam family: Bacterial small subunit ribosomal RNA
Source: RNAcentral